RNAcentral lists this ribosomal RNA (253 nucleotides) under Segatella copri DSM 18205. RNAcentral describes it as "Prevotella copri DSM 18205 partial 16S ribosomal RNA". It matches the Rfam family "Bacterial small subunit ribosomal RNA", at positions 524 to 776 of the family's 1533-position model. Lineage: Bacteria; Pseudomonadati; Bacteroidota; Bacteroidia; Bacteroidales; Prevotellaceae. The record is from RNAcentral.
UACGGAAGGUUCGGGCGUUAUCCGGAUUUAUUGGGUUUAAAGGGAGCGUAGGCCGGAGAUUAAGCGUGUUGUGAAAUGUAGACGCUCAACGUCUGCACUGCAGCGCGAACUGGUUUCCUUGAGUACGCAUAAAGUGGGCGGAAUUCGUGGUGUAGCGGUGAAAUGCUUAGAUAUCACGAAGAACUCCGAUUGCGAAGGCAGCUCACUGGGGCGCAACUGACGCUGAAGCUCGAAAGCGCGGGUAUCGAACAGG